CAAUGCCUACGGGAGGCAGCAGUAGGGAAUCUUCCACAAUGGACGAAAGUCUGAUGGAGCAACGCCGCGUGAGUGAAGAAGGGUUUCGGCUCGUAAAGCUCUGUUGGUAGUGAAGAAAGAUAGAGGUAGUAACUGGCCUUUAUUUGACGGUAAUUACUUAGAAAGUCACGGCUAACUACGUGCCAGCAGCCGCGGGAAUACGUAGGUGGCAAGCGUUGUCCGGAUUUAUUGGGCGUAAAGCGAGUGCAGGCGGUUCAAUAAGUC
RNAcentral lists this ribosomal RNA (264 nucleotides) under uncultured bacterium. RNAcentral describes it as "partial 16S ribosomal RNA". It matches the Rfam family "Bacterial small subunit ribosomal RNA", at positions 333 to 589 of the family's 1533-position model. The record is from RNAcentral.